RNAcentral lists this ribosomal RNA (325 nucleotides) under uncultured cercomonad. Its description in RNAcentral is "SSU rRNA". It matches the Rfam family "Eukaryotic small subunit ribosomal RNA", at positions 634 to 955 of the family's 1831-position model. The record is from RNAcentral. Lineage: Eukaryota; Cercozoa; Cercomonadida; Cercomonadidae.
GAUUUCUGGUUUGGCGCAUUUGGCCCGCCUCGGUUUACGGGGUUGUGUGCCGGUUUGCGCCUUCCAUCCUUCAUAUGAACAGUUCUGCCCUUCACUGGGUUGGAAUUGCUGAUUAUGAUCUUUUACUUUGAAAAAAUUAGAGUGUUUCAAGCAGGCUUUAUGCUAUGAAUACAUUAGCAUGGAAUAAUAAUUUAGGACUUCGGUUCUAUUUUGUUGGUUUCUAGGACUGAAGUAAUGAUUGAUAGGGAUAGUUGGGGGUGCUAGUAUUCAGCGGCCAGAGGUGAAAUUCUCGGAUUCGCUGAAGACUAACUUAUGCGAAAGCAUU